GACGAACGCUGGCGGCGUGCUUAACACAUGCAAGUCGAACGGAAAGGCCCUGCUUUUGUGGGGUGCUCGAGUGGCGAACGGGUGAGUAACACGUGAGUAACCUGCCCUUGACUUUGGGAUAACUUCAGGAAACUGGGGCUAAUACCGGAUAGGAGCUCCUGCUGCAUGGUGGGGGUUGGAAAGUUUCGGCGGUUGGGGAUGGAGUGGGGGCUUAUCAGCUUGUGGGUGGGGUAGUGGUUUACCAAGGCUUGGACGGGUAGCCGCCCUGAGAGGGUGACAGGCCCCAUGGGCCUACGGGAGGGCCCAGGAUGCAACCGGGGGCAAGGGGUGGGAACCUUGGCCAACGGGGCGGAGCGUGGUGAGAGAACGCCGGGGUCGGGAAGCACGGCUUUCGGGUGGGAAACCCUUUGCCCUUGUACGGAGGGGGGAUGACGGUAACGGGGAAAGAAGCAACGGCUAACUACGUG
This 467-nucleotide ribosomal RNA is filed under the name uncultured bacterium. Its description in RNAcentral is "partial 16S ribosomal RNA". It matches the Rfam family "Bacterial small subunit ribosomal RNA", at positions 28 to 507 of the family's 1533-position model. The record is from RNAcentral.